UUGGAGGGCAAGUCUGGUGCCAGCAGCCGCGGUAAUUCCAGCUCCAAUAGCGUAUAUUAAAGUUGUUGCAGUUAAAAAGCUCGUAGUUGAACCUCGGGGUCUACCCAUUGGUCAGGCUUAAUUGUCUGCACUGGUGAGAUGGAUCUCUACCUUCUGAGGAACUUUCAUGCCAUUUAUUUGGUGUGAUGGGAAAUCAGGACUGUUACUUUGAAAAAAUUAGAGUGUUUAAAGCAGACUAUCGUCUGAAUACAUUAGCAUGGAAUAAUGAAAUAGGACGUUCGAUCCUAUUUUGUUGGUUUCUAGGAUUGACGUAAUGAUUAAUAGGGAUAGUUGGAGGCAUUAGUAUUCAAUUGUCAGAGGUGAAAUUCUUGGAUUUAUUGAAGACUAACUACUGCGAAAGCAUUUGCCAAGGAUGUUUUCAUUAAUCAAGAACGAAAGUUAGGGGAUCGAAGACGAUCAGAUACCGUCGUAGUCUUAACCAUAAACUAUGCCGACUAGGGAUCGGAUGAUGUUAAUUUUUUAAUGACUCAUUCGGCGCCUUACGGGAAAC
RNAcentral lists this ribosomal RNA (550 nucleotides) under uncultured Diversispora. Its description in RNAcentral is "SSU rRNA". It matches the Rfam family "Eukaryotic small subunit ribosomal RNA", at positions 548 to 1098 of the family's 1831-position model. The record is from RNAcentral. Lineage: Eukaryota; Fungi; Glomeromycota; Glomeromycetes; Diversisporales; Diversisporaceae.